UGCGUAGGCGGCUAUUUAAGUCAGUGGUGAAAGACUCCGGCUCAACCGGGGCAGUGCCAUUGAUACUGGAUAGCUUGAGUAUUGGAGGGGUACAUGGAAUUGAUGGUGUAGCGGUGAAAUGCAUAGAUACCAUCAGGAACACCGAUAGCGAAGGCAUUGUACUGGCCAAUAACUGACGCUGAUGCACGAAAGCAUGGGGAGCGAACAGGAUUAGAUACCCUGGUAGUCC
Molecule: ribosomal RNA, 229 nt
Filed under: uncultured bacterium
Lineage: Bacteria
Description: partial 16S ribosomal RNA
Rfam family: Bacterial small subunit ribosomal RNA
Source: RNAcentral